CCUACGGGAGGCAGCAGUGAGGCAUAUUGGUCAAUGGCCGGAAGGCUGAACCAGCCAAGCCGCGUGAAGGACGAAGGUGCCAAGCCUUGUAAACUUCUUUUGUCAAGGGACACAAUCAGGCUCGAGCGCCUGACCGCGGGUACUUGAAGAAACAGCAUCGGCUAACUCCGUGCCAGCAGCCGCGGUAAUCCGGCGGAUGCGAGCGUUAUCCGGCUUUAUGGGGUUUAAAGGGUGCGUAGGCGGCCUGUUAAGUCAGCGGUAAAAGCCCGGUGAUAAACCCCGGGGAGCCGUGGACACGGGUGGUCUGGAGAUGUCGAGAGGGAUGCGGAAUGCGCAGUGUAGCGGAGAAAUGCGUAGAUAGUGCGCAGAACUCCGAUUGCGAAGGCAGCAUACCGGCGGCGAUCUGACGCUGAGGCACGAAAGCGUGGGUAUCGAACAGGAUUAGAUACCCCAGUAGUC
This 459-nucleotide ribosomal RNA is filed under the name uncultured bacterium. Its description in RNAcentral is "partial 16S ribosomal RNA". It matches the Rfam family "Bacterial small subunit ribosomal RNA", at positions 338 to 795 of the family's 1533-position model. The record is from RNAcentral.